CACCGGGGAUUGCCUUAGUAACGGCGAGUGAAGCGGCAAAAGCUCAAAUUUGAAAUCUGGUACCUUCGGUGCCCGAGUUGUAAUUUGGAGAGGGCAACUUUGGGGCCGUUCCUUGUCUAUGUUCCUUGGAACAGGACGUCAUAGAGGGUGAGAAUCCCGUGUGGCGAGGAGUGCGGUUCUUUGUAAAGUGCCUUCGAAGAGUCGAGUUGUUUGGGAAUGCAGCUCUAAGUGGGUGGUAAAUUCCAUCUAAAGCUAAAUAUUGGCGAGAGACCGAUAGCGAACAAGUACAGUGAUGGAAAGAUGAAAAGAACUUUGAAAAGAGAGUGAAAAAGUACGUGAAAUUGUUGAAAGGGAAGGGCAUUUGAUCAGACAUGGUGUUUUGUGCCCUCUGCUCCUUGUGGGUAGGGGAAUCUCGCAUUUCACUGGGCCAGCAUCAGUUUUGGUGGCAGGAUAAAUCCAUAGGAAUGUAGCUUGCCUCGGUAAGUAUUAUAGCCUGUGGGAAUACUGCCMGCUGGGACUGARGACUGCSACNUAAGUCAAGGAUGCUGGCAUAAUGGUUAUWUGCCSCCCGUCUUGAAACACSGACCAA
Molecule: ribosomal RNA, 589 nt
Filed under: Saccharomyces cerevisiae (brewer's yeast)
Lineage: Eukaryota; Fungi; Ascomycota; Saccharomycetes; Saccharomycetales; Saccharomycetaceae
Description: eukaryotic LSU rRNA
Rfam family: Eukaryotic large subunit ribosomal RNA
Source: RNAcentral